Molecule: transfer RNA, 72 nt
Filed under: Camelus bactrianus (Bactrian camel)
Lineage: Eukaryota; Metazoa; Chordata; Mammalia; Artiodactyla; Camelidae
Also listed under: 2 other names
Rfam family: tRNA
About the family: Transfer RNA (tRNA) molecules are approximately 80 nucleotides in length.
Source: Rfam by way of RNAcentral
GAGGGUAGAGCUCAGUGGUAGAGCACAUGCUUAGCAUGCAUGAGGGCCUGGGUUCAAUCCCCAGUACCUCCA